This 1396-nucleotide ribosomal RNA is filed under the name uncultured bacterium. RNAcentral's name for it is "16S ribosomal RNA". It matches the Rfam family "Bacterial small subunit ribosomal RNA". The record is from RNAcentral.
GAUGAGUUGCGAACGGGUGAGUAACGCGUAGGUAACCUGCCUUGUAGCGGGGGAUAACUAUUGGAAACGAUAGCUAAUACCGCAUAACAAUGGAUGACACAUGUCAUUUAUUUGAAAGGGGCAAUUGCUCCACUACAAGAUGGACCUGCGUUGUAUUAGCUAGUAGGUGAGGUAAUGGCUCACCUAGGCGACGAUACAUAGCCGACCUGAGAGGGUGAUCGGCCACACUGGGACUGAGACACGGCCCAGACUCCUACGGGAGGCAGCAGUAGGGAAUCUUCGGCAAUGGGGGCAACCCUGACCGAGCAACGCCGCGUGAGUGAAGAAGGUUUUCGGAUCGUAAAGCUCUGUUGUAAGUCAAGAACGGGUGUGAGAGUGGAAAGUUCACACUGUGACGGUAGCUUACCAGAAAGGGACGGCUAACUACGUGCCAGCAGCCGCGGUAAUACGUAGGUCCCGAGCGUUGUCCGGAUUUAUUGGGCGUAAAGCGAGCGCAGGCGGUUUGAUAAGUCUGAAGUUAAAGGCUGUGGCUCAACCAUAGUUCGCUUUGGAAACUGUCAAACUUGAGUGCAGAAGGGGAGAGUGGAAUUCCAUGUGUAGCGGUGAAAUGCGUAGAUAUAUGGAGGAACACCGGUGGCGAAAGCGGCUCUCUGGUCUGUAACUGACGCUGAGGCUCGAAAGCGUGGGGAGCGAACAGGAUUAGAUACCCUGGUAGUCCACGCCGUAAACGAUGAGUGCUAGGUGUUGGAUCCUUUCCGGGAUUCAGUGCCGCAGCUAACGCAUUAAGCACUCCGCCUGGGGAGUACGACCGCAAGGUUGAAACUCAAAGGAAUUGACGGGGGCCCGCACAAGCGGUGGAGCAUGUGGUUUAAUUCGAAGCAACGCGAAGAACCUUACCAGGUCUUGACAUCCCGAUGCUAUUUCUAGAGAUAGAAAGUUACUUCGGUACAUCGGUGACAGGUGGUGCAUGGUUGUCGUCAGCUCGUGUCGUGAGAUGUUGGGUUAAGUCCCGCAACGAGCGCAACCCCUAUUGUUAGUUGCCAUCAUUCAGUUGGGCACUCUAGCGAGACUGCCGGUAAUAAACCGGAGGAAGGUGGGGAUGACGUCAAAUCAUCAUGCCCCUUAUGACCUGGGCUACACACGUGCUACAAUGGUUGGUACAACGAGUUGCGAGUCGGUGACGGCGAGCUAAUCUCUUAAAGCCAAUCUCAGUUCGGAUUGUAGGCUGCAACUCGCCUACAUGAAGUCGGAAUCGCUAGUAAUCGCGGAUCAGCACGCCGCGGUGAAUACGUUCCCGGGCCUUGUACACACCGCCCGUCACACCACGAGAGUUUGUAACACCCGAAGUCGGUGAGGUAACCUUUUGGAGCCAGCCGCCUAAGGUGGGACAGAUGAU